RNAcentral lists this ribosomal RNA (372 nucleotides) under uncultured bacterium. RNAcentral describes it as "bacterial SSU rRNA". It matches the Rfam family "Bacterial small subunit ribosomal RNA", at positions 790 to 1167 of the family's 1533-position model. The record is from RNAcentral.
GUAGUCUCGGCCCUAAACGAUGAUCACUAGGUGUCAGGGGGUUUCCCUUGGUGCCGCAGCUAACGCAUUAAGUGAUCCGCCUGGGGACUACGGCCGCAAGGUUGAAACUCAAAGGAAUUGGCGGGGGCCCGCACAAGCGGUGGAGCAUAUGGCUUAAUUCGAUGCAACGCGAAGAACCUUACCCAGGCUUGACAUGUAGCUGCAAGCUCCCGAAAAGGAGCCGCUUUCGAAGGUGCUACACAGGUGGUGCAUGGCUGUCGUCAGCUCGUGUUGUGAAAUGUUGGGUUAAGUCCCGCAACGAGCGCAACCCUCAUGUCCUGUUGCCAGCACGUAAUGGUGGGAACUCGGGACAAACUGCCCAUGUAAGUGGGA